Molecule: ribosomal RNA, 141 nt
Filed under: Pseudoalteromonas lipolytica
Lineage: Bacteria; Pseudomonadati; Pseudomonadota; Gammaproteobacteria; Alteromonadales; Pseudoalteromonadaceae
Description: partial 16S ribosomal RNA
Rfam family: Bacterial small subunit ribosomal RNA
Source: RNAcentral
UUUAAUUGAAGAGUUUGAUCAUGGCUCAGAUUGAACGCUGGCGGCAGGCCUAACACAUGCAAGUCGAGCGGUAACAGAGAGUAGCUUGCUACUCUGCUGACGAGCGGCGGACGGGUGAGUAAUGCUUGGGAAUAUGCCUUA